UACGUAGGGGGCAAGCGUUGUCCGGAUUCAUUGGGCGUAAAGAGCGCGUAGGCGGCCAGGUAGGUCCGCUGUGAAAACUCGAGGCUCAACCUCGAGAUGUCGGCGGAAACCAUCUGGCUAGAGUCCGGGAGAGGAGAGUGGAAUUCCUGGUGUAGCGGUGAAAUGCGCAGAUAUCAGGAAGAACACCCGUGGCGAAGGCGGCUCACUGGCCCGGUACUGACGCUGAGGUGCGAAAGCGUGGGGAGCAAACAGG
RNAcentral lists this ribosomal RNA (253 nucleotides) under uncultured bacterium. RNAcentral's name for it is "partial 16S ribosomal RNA". It matches the Rfam family "Bacterial small subunit ribosomal RNA", at positions 524 to 776 of the family's 1533-position model. The record is from RNAcentral.